RNAcentral lists this ribosomal RNA (1244 nucleotides) under Enterococcus casseliflavus. RNAcentral describes it as "bacterial SSU rRNA". It matches the Rfam family "Bacterial small subunit ribosomal RNA", at positions 67 to 1284 of the family's 1533-position model. Lineage: Bacteria; Bacillati; Bacillota; Bacilli; Lactobacillales; Enterococcaceae. The record is from RNAcentral.
CGCUUUUUCUUUCACCGGAGCUUGCUCCACCGAAAGAAAAAGAGUGGCGAACGGGUGAGUAACACGUGGGUAACCUGCCCAUCAGAAGGGGAUAACACUUGGAAACAGGUGCUAAUACCGUAUAACACUAUUUUCCGCAUGGAAGAAAGUUGAAAGGCGCUUUUGCGUCACUGAUGGAUGGACCCGCGGUGCAUUAGCUAGUUGGUGAGGUAACGGCUCACCAAGGCAACGAUGCAUAGCCGACCUGAGAGGGUGAUCGGCCACACUGGGACUGAGACACGGCCCAGACUCCUACGGGAGGCAGCAGUAGGGAAUCUUCGGCAAUGGACGAAAGUCUGACCGAGCAACGCCGCGUGAGUGAAGAAGGUUUUCGGAUCGUAAAACUCUGUUGUUAGAGAAGAACAAGGAUGAGAGUAAAAUGUUCAUCCCUUGACGGUAUCUAACCAGAAAGCCACGGCUAACUACGUGCCAGCAGCCGCGGUAAUACGUAGGUGGCAAGCGUUGUCCGGAUUUAUUGGGCGUAAAGCGAGCGCAGGCGGUUUCUUAAGUCUGAUGUGAAAGCCCCCGGCUCAACCGGGGAGGGUCAUUGGAAACUGGGAGACUUGAGUGCAGAAGAGGAGAGUGGAAUUCCAUGUGUAGCGGUGAAAUGCGUAGAUAUAUGGAGGAACACCAGUGGCGAAGGCGGCUCUCUGGUCUGUAACUGACGCUGAGGCUCGAAAGCGUGGGGAGCGAACAGGAUUAGAUACCCUGGUAGUCCACGCCGUAAACGAUGAGUGCUAAGUGUUGGAGGGUUUCCGCCCUUCAGUGCUGCAGCAAACGCAUUAAGCACUCCGCCUGGGGAGUACGACCGCAAGGUUGAAACUCAAAGGAAUUGACGGGGGCCCGCACAAGCGGUGGAGCAUGUGGUUUAAUUCGAAGCAACGCGAAGAACCUUACCAGGUCUUGACAUCCUUUGACCACUCUAGAGAUAGAGCUUCCCCUUCGGGGGCAAAGUGACAGGUGGUGCAUGGUUGUCGUCAGCUCGUGUCGUGAGAUGUUGGGUUAAGUCCCGCAACGAGCGCAACCCUUAUUGUUAGUUGCCAUCAUUUAGUUGGGCACUCUAGCGAGACUGCCGGUGACAAACCGGAGGAAGGUGGGGAUGACGUCAAAUCAUCAUGCCCCUUAUGACCUGGGCUACACACGUGCUACAAUGGGAAGUACAACGAGUUGCGAAGUCGCGAGGCUAAGCUAAUCUCUUAAAGCUU